ACCCGCUUUCGUGGGUAUUGUUGGAAGACAGAUUGAGCAAUAUACACUAAAAGUAACUGGAAACUUCCUGCACUGUGUACAGUCUGUAAAAAACAAAGUCAAUGAAUGUUGUCUCUGAUUAUUUACAUACAUGAUCAAUCCAGUCUGUCCUUCACUAAAGCAGUCUGGAAAAAUAACUCAGGAUAAAAAUAUAUUUUAUUUAAAGUGCAGAUGAUACUUGUGAAUUUUUAGAGAAAAAUAUAAUCAUAUAAGCAAAGCAAAAUGAAAAAUACUCCAAAUUCAAUUCCCCAAGAUAGCAACUAAUAUUUUCAUAUAUAUCCUAUGCAUUUUAGUUUGCAUAGGUUAUACAUACAGACAUAAUAAGAACAAAAUAAAAUUGUGCUAUAUUUUAGCUGUAUUUAUCAUUUUAAACUUCUGCUUUAACUUAGUUUUGCAGAGUACACAGCAACAAGUAUUUCAUCAUAUGAUGACUCUCAUGAGUAAAUAUGUCUUUGCACUGUGUAUCUUAUUCUAAGUAAUUGACAUGUUAUCAUUCGACAUUCAGGUUAUGAUUAAAUGAACAGUCACAAAUUAAAGUGUUAUAGCUAGCUUUUAAACUGUCUUCAUAAACAUAAGCAUAUAUUUUAACAUUUAAAAAAUACUACAGGACACUAAAUACAACAGUGAUGUAAGCCUAAGUCUUAAUGAAAUAGUCAUGCGAAAAAUACUUUAGCACCUAUGAUGUUUCAAGCACUAUAAAAAAUAAAAUGGCAUCAGAAGUGAAGCUAUUUGGAAAUUAAUCUAAAUGAAAUGCUGGAUAGUAGAAGUGAGGAUAUACUUUUUUUAUUUGAUACAAAUUUUGUUGAAGUGCUUUUAUUUUUAUUUUUUAUUUUGCAGUUUUAUAUUCUGUUACCAGAUACAACAUAGCAGAUAUACUUCAUGCACGUAAAGCUAAAGGUCACCAAAUCAAGACUAACUAUAUCUUUUCCAUUCAUUUCUUUAUUCAAUCAUGCAUUCAAUCAAGUUCAGAAUUGCAUUCACAAACUAUAUUCUUUUUCUCUCUCCUAUAAAUCCCCUAUGUAACAUACAUUUUUAUAUUCAGUCCCAGUACUUGGGAUAGACUUAAAUACCUCUUCAGAUAAAGUGUCCUUUUAGCACAACUACAGAUAAUAGUCUCUCAUGGCCUUAUUUAUGCAAUUAUUUGGCAAUGUAAUUUUAUUUUAUUUAGAACUUUCUGUAAGGGAAAAAUAAUGUUAUUAAUUUCUAUUAAAAGGGUUAUAUGCAUAUUGUCCUGCUUUUUUACUUUAUAUAAAAUUUUGUCAUGCAAACAAUAGUAAUGUUUAUACAAAAUUAAAUGUCUUAUAGCAGCACUAUUCACAGUAACCAAAAGAUGGAAAGACCUCAAAUUUCCAUCAAUGGAUAGAUGAAUAAACAAAAUAUUGUACAGCCAUACAGUUGAAUAUUUUCAGUAAUAAAAAUGAAGUACUAAUAUAUGCUACAACAUAGACUAAUCUCAAAAUUAUUAUGCUUAGUGAAAGAAGCUACACACAAGAAGUCAUAUAUUGCAUUAUUCCAUUUAUUUGAACUCUCUAGAAUAGGUAAAUGCAUGGAGACAGAAAGAUUUGCGGUUGCCAGAGGCUGGGCAGGGGGAGACGAAAGAGUGAAUGACUACUUAAAGUAUAACAAGUUUUCUUUGGGAAUGAUAAAAUAUUUUGGAACUGAAUAGAAGUAGUGGUUGCAGAAAUAAUGUGAAUGUAUAAUUCUAUUAAAUUGUACACUUAAAAUGGUUAAUUUUAUGUUAUGUGAAUUUUACCUCAACUUCAAAAAGUCUACACAGAAAAAUUUUGGGGUAAAAUCUUAAUAAACAGUCCUCAGCAAAUUAUUUGUUUCUAAAUUCAGAUGGAUCAAUGAGAAUCAGAUUCUAAACAUAUUUAAUUUCAGUUGGCAAAAGCAUCAUCUAUUAAAUUGAGGAUUGGAAAUAGAUUAAAGUAAGAAAAGAGGCUUUUUCUUAUGCCUAUUAAGAAACAGACUAUUAAAAAG
Molecule: long non-coding RNA, 2019 nt
Filed under: Homo sapiens (human)
Lineage: Eukaryota; Metazoa; Chordata; Mammalia; Primates; Hominidae
Description: non-protein coding lnc-FSCB-8:1
Source: RNAcentral